RNAcentral lists this ribosomal RNA (920 nucleotides) under uncultured bacterium. RNAcentral's name for it is "bacterial SSU rRNA". It matches the Rfam family "Bacterial small subunit ribosomal RNA", at positions 33 to 935 of the family's 1533-position model. The record is from RNAcentral.
ACGCUGGCGGCGUGCCUAAUACAUGCAAGUAGAACGCUGAAGCUUGGUGCUUGCACCGAGCGGAUGAGUUGCGAACGGGUGAGUAACGCGUAGGUAACCUGCCUCUUAGCGGGGGAUAACUAUUGGAAACGAUAGCUAAUACCGCAUAAAAGUCGAUAUCGCAUGAUAUUGAUUUGAAAGGUGCAAUUGCAUCACUAAGAGAUGGACCUGCGUUGUAUUAGCUAGUUGGUGAGGUAACGGCUCACCAAGGCGACGAUACAUAGCCGACCUGAGAGGGUGAUCGGCCACACUGGGACUGAGACACGGCCCAGACUCCUACGGGAGGCAGCAGUAGGGAAUCUUCGGCAAUGGGGGCAACCCUGACCGAGCAACGCCGCGUGAGUGAAGAAGGUUUUCGGAUCGUAAAGCUCUGUUGUAAGAGAAGAACGAGUGUGAGAGUGGAAAGUUCACACUGUGACGGUAACUUACCAGAAAGGGACGGCUAACUACGUGCCAGCAGCCGCGGUAAUACGUAGGUCCCGAGCGUUAUCCGGAUUUAUUGGGCGUAAAGCGAGCGCAGGCGGUUAGAUAAGUCUGAAGUUAAAGGCUGUGGCUUAACCAUAGUACGCUUUGGAAACUGUUUAACUUGAGUGCAGAAGGGGAGAGUGGAAUUCCAUGUGUAGCGGUGAAAUGCGUAGAUAUAUGGAGGAACACCGGUGGCGAAAGCGGCUCUCUGGUCUGUAACUGACGCUGAGGCUCGAAAGCGUGGGGAGCAAACAGGAUUAGAUACCCUGGUAGUCCACGCCGUAAACGAUGAGUGCUAGGUGUUGGGUCCUUUCCGGGACUCAGUGCCGCAGCUAACGCAUUAAGCACUCCGCCUGGGGAGUACGACCGCAAGGUUGAAACUCAAAGGAAUUGACGGGGGCCCGCACAAGCGGUGG